AGCUGUGAUUGAAGCAAAGCCACCUCCUGCGUAAAGGAGACCGGGGCUUUGCCUGUUCUUCAGAUGAAGGCGUGGGAUAGUUAACUCGGAGAGUCCUCUAGUGGAAAUGCUGUUUGUACUGGUCAAACAGCUGUUUUCCUUCUCAAAACGAUUUUCCAAGCAAGCAAGCUAUCCGAGCAAAAGAUGGCACGACAUUGCACUCUUAUCUUCUACUAAACUACCCUCAGCUUAAUAAAAUGUUGCAAUUAUGCUGUCCACUACACCUAGAUUUGAAGAACUGACAGGCUCCUACAGUUUUUAGGUCAGAGAGAACCAUUUUCUCUUCAAGCUGAACUUCAGCAUAACCAAGAGACAGAACCAAAGUUUAUCUUGUCAUCUUUACUCAUCCUGCUUCAAAUCUCACACAAUACACCGUAAAUCAUAGGGGCUCCUUGCUUCUUGCUGCAUGACCUGUUCCUAAUCCUUUAGAAAACAACAAUCCCACUUCUGAAAGAUAACUGUGAAAGAAACUAUGGAAGAAAGAAAAUGGAUGCUUCUACCAUUGAAGACAGGCAUUUGUCACUUCAGAGGAUGGAAGAAAAUGGUGAAAAAUUUAAACAAAAAGACUUAACCCUGAGGAUCAAGUUUUCACCUUGGUUCCUCAAGAAUCCUCUUUUUAUUGCUUUCCCUGGGCCAGACUUAAUUGUGCUGUCCUAAAUUCUCAUUAUUGGUCCAGCCAGCAUUCAAUUUGAUUGAAAGACAGGCAUUCUUAGCUCAAAAUACUCCAAAUCCAAGAAGUGCCUGAUGGAUCCUUCAAUAAGUAUGCACAGAAACACCACUGUAGGCAAUAGGGAAAUAAUCACAGCUGGCACAUUAAAUGUUUCUUCUUUAUAAAGUACAGGUUCAAUUUUAAAAUACUAUAUGCACUAUAGUUUAUAAACAAUAUCUAGAAUCCUUCUGUCUUUUAUA
Molecule: long non-coding RNA, 948 nt
Organism: Athene cunicularia (burrowing owl)
Lineage: Eukaryota; Metazoa; Chordata; Aves; Strigiformes; Strigidae
Exons: 4
Source: RefSeq, a predicted model, not a curated record